CUGAAACUAGAUCAAGGGGAAAAAAUCAUAGAAGCAAAGUGGAUAUUUUAUUGAGAUCUCAAGAUUUCCAUCCCCCAAAGAAAGAAAACCAUCACAAAUCUGCUCCCCAGAGAAACUGCAUAAACAGUCGGUCUUUGAAAUUUGCCCUCAAGGUUAUUCAUGCAAGUUCCUAAAACUUCUAAAGCAAGUCCAGAAGUUAAGGACCAAGCCCCUCUUCUUGAGAAGGAAGUCAACUUGCAUUUGUCACUGGGAGAAAAUGCACCAAGAAAUUAGCAUUAACAGCAGUGCUACGAACUCCAGGGAGAGAAAAGGAGGGAAAAUCAACAGAACUCAAUCCAUUGCAUUCACUUGGGUUUAUCUUCCUGAAAUAAGAUGCACUGCUGACUUUCAAGGCAGCGAUGUGAAGAACAGAUGAGCUUAAAGAACCUUGAGUGUAAGCAGAAUAUACAGUGUCUUGUACAUGCUGAAUCUGUAUAACUCCACCAGGCAGCUAGCAGGCCAUUAUAACUUUA
This is a long non-coding RNA of Hemicordylus capensis (graceful crag lizard), 512 nucleotides long. RefSeq lists it as uncharacterized. The transcript has 3 exons. Lineage: Eukaryota; Metazoa; Chordata; Lepidosauria; Squamata; Cordylidae. The record is from RefSeq and is a predicted model, not a curated record.